GAUGAACGCUAGCUACAGGCUUAACACAUGCAAGUCGAGGGGCAGCAUGGUCUUUAGCUUGCUAAGGCCGAUGGCGACCGGCGCACGGGUGAGUAACACGUAUCCAACCUGCCGUCUACUCUUGGACAGCCUUCUGAAAGGAAGAUUAAUACAAGAUGGCAUCAUGAGUCCGCAUGUUCACAUGAUUAAAGGUAUUCCGGUAGACGAUGGGGAUGCGUUCCAUUAGAUAGUAGGCGGGGUAACGGCCCACCUAGUCUUCGAUGGAUAGGGGUUCUGAGAGGAAGGUCCCCCACAUUGGAACUGAGACACGGUCCAAACUCCUACGGGAGGCAGCAGUGAGGAAUAUUGGUCAAUGGGCGAGAGCCUGAACCAGCCAAGUAGCGUGAAGGAUGACUGCCCUAUGGGUUGUAAACUUCUUUUAUAAAGGAAUAAAGUCGGGUAUGGAUACCCGUUUGCAUGUACUUUAUGAAUAAGGAUCGGCUAACUCCGUGCCAGCAGCCGCGGUAAUAUGGAGGAUCCGAGCGUUAUCCGGAUUUAUUGGGUUUAAAGGGAGCGUAGAUGGAUAUUUAAGUCAGUUGUGAAAGUUUGCGGCUCAACCGUAAAAUUGCAGUUGAUACUGGAUAUCUUGAGUGCAGUUGAGGCAGGCGGAAUUCGUGGUGUAGCGGUGAAAUGCUUAGAUAUCACGAAGAACUCCGAUUGCGAAGGCAGCCUGCUAAGCUGCAACUGACAUUGAGG
This 735-nucleotide ribosomal RNA is filed under the name uncultured Bacteroidales bacterium. Its description in RNAcentral is "bacterial SSU rRNA". It matches the Rfam family "Bacterial small subunit ribosomal RNA", at positions 28 to 751 of the family's 1533-position model. The record is from RNAcentral. Lineage: Bacteria; Pseudomonadati; Bacteroidota; Bacteroidia; Bacteroidales.